UUAAGUUAGAAAGGGCGCACGGUGGAUGCCUUGGCACUAGGAGCCGAAGAAGGACGGGACUAACACCGAUAUGCUUUGGGGAGCUGUACGUAAGCGUUGAUCCAGAGAUUUCCGAAUGGGGGAACCCACUAUCUUUAGUCGGAUAGUAUCCUUACGUGAAUACAUAGCGUGAGGAAGGCAGACCCAGGGAACUGAAACAUCUAAGUACCUGGAGGAAGAGAAAGAAAAAUCGAUUUCCUGAGUAGCGGCGAGCGAAACGGAAAGAGCCCAAACCAAGAAGCUUGCUUCUUGGGGUUGUAGGACACUCUAUACGGAGUUACAAAAGAAAGUUAUAAAUGAAGCGGUCUGGAAAGGCCCGCCAAAGACGGUAACAGCCCGGUAGUUGAAAUGGCUUUCCCUCCAGAGUGGAUCCUGAGUACGGCGGAACACGUGAAAUUCCGUCGGAAUCCGGGAGGACCAUCUCCCAAGGCUAAAUACUCCCUAGUGACCGAUAGUGAACCAGUACCGUGAGGGAAAGGUGAAAAGCACCCCGGAAGGGGAGUGAAACAGUUCCUGAAACCGUGUGCCUACAAGUAGUUAGAGCCCGUUAAUGGGUGAUAGCGUGCCUUUUGUAGAAUGAACCGGCGAGUUACGAUUUGUUGCAAGGUUAAGCGGAAAAAGCGGAGCCGUAGCGAAAGCGAGUCUGAAUAGGGCGCAUAAGUAACAGGUCGUAGACCCGAAACCAGGUGAUCUACCCAUGUCCAGGAUGAAGGUAAGGUAAUACUUACUGGAGGUCCGAACCCACGCACGUUGAAAAGUGCGGGGAUGAGGUGUGGGUAGCGGAGAAAUUCCAAUCGAACUUGGAGAUAGCUGGUUCUCUCCGAAAUAGCUUUAGGGCUAGCCUCGAGGUAAAGAGUCAUGGAGGUAGAGCACUGUUUGGACUAGGGGCCCUUCUCGGGUUACCGAAUUCAGAUAAACUCCGAAUGCCAUGUACUUAUACUCGGGAGUCAGACUGCGAGUGAUAAGAUCCGUAGUCGAAAGGGAAACAGCCCAGACCACCAGUUAAGGUCCCCAAAUAUAUGUUAAGUGGAAAAGGAUGUGGGGUUGCUUAGACAACCAGGAUGUUGGCUUAGAAGCAGCCACCAUUGAAAGAGUGCGUAAUAGCUCACUGGUCGAGUGACCCCGCGCCGAAAAUGUACCGGGGCUAAACAUAUUACCGAAACUGUGGAUGAACCUCUUUAGAGGUUCGUGGUAGGAGAGCGUUCUAAGGGCGGUGAAGUCAGACCGGAAGGACUGGUGGAGCGCUUAGAAGUGAGAAUGCCGGUAUGAGUAGCGAAAGAAGGGUGAGAAUCCCUUCCACCGAAUAUCUAAGGUUUCCUGAGGAAGGCUCGUCCGCUCAGGGUUAGUCGGGACCUAAGCUGAGGCCGAUAGGCGUAGGCGAUGGACAACAGGUAGAGAUUCCUGUACCAGUGCUAAUUGUUUAACCGAUGGGGUGACACAGAAGGAUAGGGAAUCGCACGAAUGGAAAUGUGCGUCCAAGCAGUGAGUGUGAGAAGUAGGCAAAUCCGCUUCUCGCGAAGCAUGAGCUGUGAUGGGGAAGGAAAUUAAGUACGGAAGUUCCUGAUUUCACGCUGUCAAGAAAAGCCUCUAGGAAGAGUAGUACUGCCCGUACCGCAAACCGACACAGGUAGAUGAGGAGAGAAUCCUAAGGUGAGCGAGAGAACUCUCGUUAAGGAACUCGGCAAAAUGACCCCGUAACUUCGGGAGAAGGGGUGCUCUAUUAGGGUGCAAGCCCGAGAGAGCCGCAGUGAAUAGGCCCAGGCGACUGUUUAGCAAAAACACAGGUCUCUGCAAAACCGUAAGGUGACGUAUAGGGGCUGACGCCUGCCCGGUGCUGGAAGGUUAAGAGGAGUGCUUAGCUUCGGCGAAGGUACGAAUUGAAGCCCCAGUAAACGGCGGCCGUAACUAUAACGGUCCUAAGGUAGCGAAAUUCCUUGUCGGGUAAGUUCCGACCCGCACGAAAGGCGCAACGAUCUGGGCACUGUCUCAACGAGAGACUCGGUGAAAUUAUAGUACCUGUGAAGAUGCAGGUUACCCGCGACAGGACGGAAAGACCCCGUGGAGCUUUACUGCAACCUGAUAUGGAAUGUUUGUACCGCUUGUACAGGAUAGGUAGGAGCCGAAGAGACGUGUGCGCUAGCAUACGAGGAGGCAAUGGUGGGAUACUACCCUGGCUGUAUGACCAUUCUAACCCGCCACGCUUAGCGCGUGGGGAGACAGUGUCAGGUGGGCAGUUUGACUGGGGCGGUCGCCUCCUAAAGAGUAACGGAGGCGCCCAAAGGUUCCCUCAGAAUGGAUGGAAAUCAUUCGCAGAGUGUAAAG
This 2361-nucleotide ribosomal RNA is filed under the name Listeria monocytogenes. Its description in RNAcentral is "bacterial LSU rRNA". It matches the Rfam family "Bacterial large subunit ribosomal RNA", at positions 3 to 2356 of the family's 2925-position model. Lineage: Bacteria; Bacillati; Bacillota; Bacilli; Caryophanales; Listeriaceae. The record is from RNAcentral.